RNAcentral lists this transfer RNA (85 nucleotides) under Lotharella vacuolata. RNAcentral's name for it is "tRNA-Ser". It matches the Rfam family "tRNA". Rfam says of the family: Transfer RNA (tRNA) molecules are approximately 80 nucleotides in length. Their secondary structure includes four short double-helical elements and three loops (D, anti-codon, and T loops). Further hydrogen bonds mediate the characteristic L-shaped molecular structure. tRNAs have two regions of fundamental functional importance: the anti-codon, which is responsible for specific mRNA codon recognition, and the 3' end, to which the tRNAs corresponding amino acid is attached (by aminoacyl-tRNA synthetases). tRNAs cope with the degeneracy of the genetic code in two manners: having more than one tRNA (with a specific anti-codon) for a particular amino acid; and 'wobble' base-pairing, i.e. permitting non-standard base-pairing at the 3rd anti-codon position. RNAcentral also lists the same sequence under 1 other name. The record is from RNAcentral. Lineage: Eukaryota; Cercozoa; Chlorarachniophyceae.
GGGAAGAUGGCAGAGAGGUCGAUUGCAUCGGUUUUGAAAACCGUCGUAGCAAUAGCUACCGAGGGUUCGAAUCCCUCUUUUCCCA